Molecule: ribosomal RNA, 368 nt
Filed under: uncultured organism
Description: bacterial LSU rRNA
Rfam family: Bacterial large subunit ribosomal RNA
Source: RNAcentral
CUUUACUGUAGCUUUGCAUUGGACUUUGACGGGACUUGUGUAGGAUAGGUGGGAGGCGUUGAGAUGCGGUCGCCAGAUCGCAUGGAGCCGUCCUUGAAAUACCACCCUGGUGUCGUUGAGGUUCUAACCUGGGCCCCUGAAGCGGGGUCGGGGACCGUGCAUGGCAGGCAGUUUGACUGGGGCGGUCUCCUCCUAAACGGUAACGGAGGAGCACGAAGGUCUCCUAGGCACGGUCGGACAUCGUGCUCAUAGUGCAAUGGCAAAAGGAGGCUUGACUGCGAGACCCACAAGUCGAGCAGGUGCGAAAGCAGGUCAUAGUGAUCCGGUGGUUCUGUAUGGAAGGGCCAUCGCUCAACGGAUAAAAGGUA